This 1276-nucleotide long non-coding RNA is filed under the name Equus caballus (horse). Its description in RNAcentral is "lncRNA (ENSECAG00000049350.1)". Lineage: Eukaryota; Metazoa; Chordata; Mammalia; Perissodactyla; Equidae. The record is from RNAcentral.
CCUUGAAGUAAAUCGAUGGCCUACCGAGGGGACUGUUUUGACGGGGACAACACUCAUUUGGAUGUGUAAGUCUAGAACGUUUGUUACGAAACCAGUCCCGCCUCUCCAUGGUCCCAGCUUCCGUACAGGUUUGUUGACUUCCAUUCAAGUCUCAGGUCCUUGGCUCAGGAGCUCCGCUCCCGUACAGCGCGUCCGGGCGUGAGAACAGAAGCCAAGGCAAGUGUUUGCUUUGGAACAAAGAAGGGCUGGGAUGGGUCUCUGGAGGCGCUCGCCAUUUCAGAAAAAGGAGUCAUCUGUUUCUCAUAAGAUGGAGUGCUGGGCGUGGAAUCCAUGUUCCCAAACUGUCUGGAAUCGCUCGUGACUGGUCUGGCCACAGCUCCUGCGGGUCGGGAGGGGCUGAAGUAGGACCCCGCCACCCUAGACCUUGAAAAUGGACUUGCAUUUCCUUCGAGCCUUCAAAGAACUCGCUCUCCUGAUGCCGCUGAAAGUACCAGCCUGGUUGCAGAAAGCCCCACGUGGAACCUCGCCUCCGAUGGACCCGGCCGCCGUGCCCAGGGAAAGGUGCUUUCCAGAGAGGUUAUUCCUCCCUAGUGAGCUCUCAUGCUCAUGUUUUUGUUCCUAGCACCACCACCAUUUCAUUAAACUUUACUUAAAAAAAAAAAAAAACGCACCCACAGCUCAGAGUUUCGUUUUUAUUUUAUUUAUUUAUUUAUUUUUUUGAGGAAGAUUAGCCCUGAGCUAACUGCUGCCAAUCCUCCUCUUUUUGCUGAGGAAGACUGGCCCUGAGCUAACAUCCGUGCCCGUCUUCCUCUACUUUAUAUGUGGGAUGCCUACCACAGCAUGGCUUGCCAAGCAGUGCCACAUCCGCACCCUGGAUCUGAACCGGCGAACCCCGGGCCGCCGAAGUGGAAUGUGGGAACUUAACUGCUGUGCCACCAGGCUGGCCCCUGUGCUUGAGUUUUUUACUCAGCCAGGAAGUGAACUUCCUCUGUCAUUUCAUUUGCCAGAACUAGUCCCGUGGCCCCACCCAACUGCAGGGGGCUGAGACUCCCGUGUCCCGGGAAGGGGAGAGGACUGGAUGGUGGUGGCUGUAGGUGACUUCGAGCACAGGCAGGUUUAGUAACUUGCAUGUAGUUGACAUCAAGGUGUAAACCAAGUUCUGCCUAAAGCCAAAGUUCAGGCUCUGACGGUGACCCUUGGAGCCGGGGAGAGGAAUCCCUCCCCUCCAGCCUCAGUCAGCAGCACUGUGUGAGCAUCCCUGGUGGGACCCUGCUGG